AGUCGAGGGGCAGCGGGGCGGCAGGCUUGCCUGCCGUUGCCGGCGACCGGCGCACGGGUGAGUAACACGUAUGCAACCUGCCCGUGGCAGGGGGAUAAGCGGGGGAAACCCCGUCUAAUACCGCGUAACGCGGCCUAGGGACAUCCCAAGGCCGCCAAAGGGAGCAAUCCCGGCCACGGAUGGGCAUGCGGCGCAUUAGCUAGUCGGCGGGGUAACGGCCCACCGAGGCGACGAUGCGUAGGGGUUCUGAGAGGAAGGCCCCCCACACUGGUACUGAGACACGGACCAGACUCCUACGGGAGGCAGCAGUGAGGAAUAUUGGUCAAUGGGCGCGAGCCUGAACCAGCCAAGUCGCGUGAGGGAGGACGGCCCUACGGGUUGUAAACCUCUUUUGCCGGGGAGCAACGGGCGUCACGUGUGGCGCCACUGAGAGUACCCGGAGAAAAAGCAUCGGCUAACUCCGUGCCAGCAGCCGCGGUAAUACGGAGGAUGCGAGCGUUAUCCGGAUUUAUUGGGUUUAAAGGGUGCGUAGGCGGAUCGUUAAGUCAGUGGUCAAAUUGAGGGGCUCAACCCCUUCCCGCCAUUGAAACUGGCGUUCUUGAGUGGAAGAGAAGUAUGCGGAAUGCGUGGUGUAGCGGUGAAAUGCAUAGAUAUCACGCAGAACUCCGAUUGCGAAGGCAGCAUACCGGCGCCCUACUGACGCUGAGGCACGAAAGCGUGGGUAUCGAACAGGAUUAGAUACCCUGGUAGUCCACGCAGUAAACGAUGAAUGCUAACUGUCCGGCGCGAAUGAGCGCUGGGCGGUACAGCGAAAG
This 815-nucleotide ribosomal RNA is filed under the name uncultured bacterium. RNAcentral's name for it is "bacterial SSU rRNA". It matches the Rfam family "Bacterial small subunit ribosomal RNA", at positions 60 to 857 of the family's 1533-position model. The record is from RNAcentral.